ACGAACGCUGGCGGCGUGCCUAAUACAUGCAAGUCGAGCGGACAGACGGGAGCUUGCUCCCUGAUGUUAGCGGCGGACGGGUGAGUAACACGUGGGUAACCUGCCUGUAAGACUGGGAUAACUCCGGGAAACCGGGGCUAAUACCGGAUGGUUGUCUGAACCGCAUGGUUCAGACAUAAAAGGUGGCUUCGGCUACCACUUACAGAUGGACCCGCGGCGCAUUAGCUAGUUGGUGAGGUAACGGCUCACCAAGGCAACGAUGCGUAGCCGACCUGAGAGGGUGAUCGGCCACACUGGGACUGAGACACGGCCCAGACUCCUACGGGAGGCAGCAGUAGGGAAUCUUCCGCAAUGGACGAAAGUCUGACGGAGCAACGCCGCGUGAGUGAUGAAGGUUUUCGGAUCGUAAAGCUCUGUUGUUAGGGAAGAACAAGUGCCGUUCAAAUAGGGCGGCACCUUGACGGUACCUAACCAGAAAGCCACGGCUAACUACGUG
This 496-nucleotide ribosomal RNA is filed under the name uncultured bacterium. RNAcentral's name for it is "partial 16S ribosomal RNA". It matches the Rfam family "Bacterial small subunit ribosomal RNA", at positions 29 to 507 of the family's 1533-position model. The record is from RNAcentral.